RNAcentral lists this ribosomal RNA (433 nucleotides) under uncultured bacterium. Its description in RNAcentral is "bacterial SSU rRNA". It matches the Rfam family "Bacterial small subunit ribosomal RNA", at positions 28 to 444 of the family's 1533-position model. The record is from RNAcentral.
GAUGAACGCUGGCGGCGUGCUUAACACAUGCAAGUCGAACGGGGAAUAUUUCAUUGAGACUUCGGUGGAUUUGAUCUAUUUCUAGUGGCGGACGGGUGAGUAACGCGUGGGUAACCUGCCUUAUACAGGGGGAUAACAGUCAGAAAUGGCUGCUAAUACCGCAUAAGCGCACAGAGCUGCAUGGCUCAGUGUGAAAAACUCCGGUGGUAUAAGAUGGACCCGCGUUGGAUUAGCUAGUUGGUGGGGUAACGGCCCACCAAGGCGACGAUCCAUAGCCGGCCUGAGAGGGUGAACGGCCACAUUGGGACUGAGACACGGCCCAGACUCCUACGGGAGGCAGCAGUGGGGAAUAUUGCACAAUGGGGGAAACCCUGAUGCAGCGACGCCGCGUGAAGGAAGAAGUAUCUCGGUAUGUAAACUUCUAUCAGCAGGG